GUCCGCGUAGCACAAUUGGAUAGUGCGCCGGCCUCCGGAGCCGGAGGUUGCAGGUUCGAAUCCUGCCGCGGACG
RNAcentral lists this transfer RNA (74 nucleotides) under Planctomycetota bacterium. Its description in RNAcentral is "Planctomycetes bacterium (bioreactor metagenome) tRNA-Arg". It matches the Rfam family "tRNA". From Rfam's summary of the family: Transfer RNA (tRNA) molecules are approximately 80 nucleotides in length. Their secondary structure includes four short double-helical elements and three loops (D, anti-codon, and T loops). Further hydrogen bonds mediate the characteristic L-shaped molecular structure. tRNAs have two regions of fundamental functional importance: the anti-codon, which is responsible for specific mRNA codon recognition, and the 3' end, to which the tRNAs corresponding amino acid is attached (by aminoacyl-tRNA synthetases). tRNAs cope with the degeneracy of the genetic code in two manners: having more than one tRNA (with a specific anti-codon) for a particular amino acid; and 'wobble' base-pairing, i.e. permitting non-standard base-pairing at the 3rd anti-codon position. The record is from RNAcentral. Lineage: Bacteria; Pseudomonadati; Planctomycetota.